GCCGGUGACCAUGGCGGAGGGGAAACACCCGUUCCCAUCUCGAACACGGCAGUUAAGCUCUCCAGCGUCGAUGAUAGUAUGCGGGCAGCUGCAUGCGAAAGUAGAACGUUGCCGGAU
Molecule: ribosomal RNA, 117 nt
Filed under: Candidatus Goldiibacteriota bacterium HGW-Goldbacteria-1
Lineage: Bacteria; Candidatus Goldiibacteriota
Also listed under: 1 other name
Source: RNAcentral